GGUGGAAUACUUACUCUAGUUGAAACUGUUGAGGAUGGGUCACUCAUCAGCACAGAACACACUGUUGGGGCUUUGCUGUCAUUGUGUCAAAGCAGCCGAGACAAGUACAGGGAACUCAUUCUCAAAGAAGGCGCCAUUCCAGGCCUUUUAAGGUUAACUGCAGAGGGCACACCUCUAGCUCAGGAAAGAGCUAGAACACUUUUGGACUUGCUUCGAGACUCUCCUCCUGAAAAUAGGUUCUCAUCCUCCACAUUGAAGAGAAUAGUAUACGACUUCGCUGCACAAG
RNAcentral lists this unclassified non-coding RNA (286 nucleotides) under Hevea brasiliensis (rubber tree). The record is from RNAcentral. Lineage: Eukaryota; Viridiplantae; Streptophyta; Magnoliopsida; Malpighiales; Euphorbiaceae.